CCUGGUGGCUCAGAUGGUAAAGCGUCUGCCUGCAAUGCGGGAGACCCAGGUUAGAUCCCUGGGUCAGGA
This 69-nucleotide transfer RNA is filed under the name Ovis aries (sheep). It matches the Rfam family "tRNA". Rfam says of the family: Transfer RNA (tRNA) molecules are approximately 80 nucleotides in length. Their secondary structure includes four short double-helical elements and three loops (D, anti-codon, and T loops). The record is from Rfam by way of RNAcentral. Lineage: Eukaryota; Metazoa; Chordata; Mammalia; Artiodactyla; Bovidae.